GGUCCGGUGGCUCAAUUGGUAGGGCGUCUUGACUUCGAUUGAGAUUUCAUCAAGAGAAAUCCUCCGAAUUUUCGGAAUUUUAUCAGAAGAUUGCGGGUUCGAGUCCCGUCUGGAUCG
Molecule: transfer RNA, 117 nt
Filed under: Colletotrichum salicis
Lineage: Eukaryota; Fungi; Ascomycota; Sordariomycetes; Glomerellales; Glomerellaceae
Rfam family: tRNA
About the family: Transfer RNA (tRNA) molecules are approximately 80 nucleotides in length. Their secondary structure includes four short double-helical elements and three loops (D, anti-codon, and T loops). Further hydrogen bonds mediate the characteristic L-shaped molecular structure. tRNAs have two regions of fundamental functional importance: the anti-codon, which is responsible for specific mRNA codon recognition, and the 3' end, to which the tRNAs corresponding amino acid is attached (by aminoacyl-tRNA synthetases). tRNAs cope with the degeneracy of the genetic code in two manners: having more than one tRNA (with a specific anti-codon) for a particular amino acid; and 'wobble' base-pairing, i.e. permitting non-standard base-pairing at the 3rd anti-codon position.
Source: Rfam by way of RNAcentral